GGAAAAGAAACCAACAGGGAUUGCCCUAGUAACGGCGAGUGAAGCGGCAACAGCUCAAAUUUGAAAUCUGGCUCUUUUAGGGUCCGAGUUGUAAUUUGCAGAGGGCGCUUUGGCUUUGGCAGCGGUCCAAGUUCCUUGGAACAGGACGUCACAGAGGGUGAGAAUCCCGUACGUGGUCGCUAGCUAUUGCCGUGUAAAGCCCCUUCGACGAGUCGAGUUGUUUGGGAAUGCAGCUCUAAAUGGGAGGUAAAUUUCUUCUAAAGCUAAAUAUUGGCCAGAGACCGAUAGCGCACAAGUAGAGUGAUCGAAAGAUGAAAAGCACUUUGGAAAGAGAGUCAAACAGCACGUGAAAUUGUUGAAAGGGAAGCGCUUGCAGCCAGACUUGCUUGCAGUUGCUCAUCCGGGCUUUUGCCCGGUGCACUCUUCUGUAGGCAGGCCAGCAUCAGUUUGGGCGGUGGGAUAAAGGUCUCUGUCACGUACCUCUCUUCGGGGAGGCCUUAUAGGGGAGACGACAUACCACCAGCCUAGACUGAGGUCCGCGCAUCUGCUAGGAUGCUGGCGUAAUGGCUGUAAGCGGCCCGUCUUGAAACACGGACCAAGGAGUCUAACAUCUAUGCGAGUGUUUGGGUGUCAAGCCCGAGCGCGUAAUGAAAGUGAACGGAGGUGGGAACCCGCAAGGGUGCACCAUCGACCGAUCCUGAAGUUUUCGGAAGGAUUUGAGUAAGAGCAUGGCUGUUGGGACCCGAAAGAUGGUGAACUAUGCUUGAAUAGGGUGAAGCCAGAGGAAACUCUGGUGGAGGCUCGCAGCGGUUCUGACGUGCAAAUCGAUCGUC
RNAcentral lists this ribosomal RNA (833 nucleotides) under Stemphylium triglochinicola. RNAcentral describes it as "LSU rRNA". It matches the Rfam family "Eukaryotic large subunit ribosomal RNA", at positions 55 to 906 of the family's 3401-position model. Lineage: Eukaryota; Fungi; Ascomycota; Dothideomycetes; Pleosporales; Pleosporaceae. The record is from RNAcentral.